RNAcentral lists this ribosomal RNA (554 nucleotides) under Elachistocleis panamensis. Its description in RNAcentral is "partial 16S ribosomal RNA". It matches the Rfam family "Bacterial large subunit ribosomal RNA", at positions 1817 to 2597 of the family's 2925-position model. The record is from RNAcentral. Lineage: Eukaryota; Metazoa; Chordata; Amphibia; Anura; Microhylidae.
CGCCUCCUGCACUAAAUAGGAGGUCCAGCCUGCCCAGUGACCAAGUUAAACGGCCGCGGUACCCUAACCGUGCGAAGGUAGCGCAAUCACUUGUUCUUUAAAUGAGGACUAGUAUGAACGGCAUCACGAGGGUUACACUGUCUCCCACCUCUAAUCAGUGAAACUGAUCUCCCCGUGAAGAAGCGGGAAUAAAACUAUAAGACGAGAAGACCCCAUGGAGCUUUAAACCCAGCACCAACCACCAAUUACUAAACCAUAAAAAACAGGUGACUCUGGCUGCUAGUUUUCGGUUGGGGUGACCACGGAGUAAAACACAACCUCCAUGAUGAAUGACCUCCCAUUCUAAUCCAAGAGCUACAACUCGAAGAAUCAAUAAAUUGACAUCCAUUGACCCAAACAAUUUUGAUCAACGAACCAAGUUACCCUGGGGAUAACAGCGCAAUCCAUUUCAAGAGCUCCUAUCGACAAAUGGGUUUACGACCUCGAUGUUGGAUCAGGGUAUCCCAGUGGUGCAGCCGCUACUAAAGGUUCGUUUGUUCAACGAUUAAAACCCU